RNAcentral lists this ribosomal RNA (270 nucleotides) under uncultured prokaryote. RNAcentral's name for it is "partial 16S ribosomal RNA". It matches the Rfam family "Bacterial small subunit ribosomal RNA", at positions 524 to 794 of the family's 1533-position model. The record is from RNAcentral.
CACGUAGGAGGCAAACGUUAUCCGGAUUUACUGGGCGUAAAGCGCGUGUAGGUGGUUCUGUAAGUAGGGCGUGAAAGCUCCCGGCUCAACUGGGAGAGGCCGUUCUAAACUGCAGAGCUAGAGGAUGGUAGAGGGAGGUGGAAUUCCAGGUGUAGCGGUGGAAUGCGCAGAUAUCUGGAGGAACACCAGUGGGAAGGCGGCCUCCUGGACCAUUCCUGACACUCAGACGCGAAAGCUAGGGUAGCAAACGGGAUUAGAUACCCGCGUAGU